GCUGUCACCCAUUCGCUCUGAAAACGAGUCCGCCUGGUUAGGUCCGAUCGCACUCUCAAGGUCUUGCUUCCUCUAUGGUUUUAGAAUCUCAUCAUAUUGGGCGUGCGACUUGCAUGGAUUUACCCCUACAGUUCUAGCGGAGCACAACCAGUCGAUGGGAAUGGCACCAUGUCCACUUUUAACAACGUGCGGUUCAGAACGAGCCAGAGGUCUUUCCCGGUCCAAUUCUCUACCUCAUAUUAAUGACCGAUAUGCCAGAUUACGUUGGAGUUGGUGAGAACGAAACAUUGGAUAUGCAGACGAUACUGCAAUCUGGGUGGUUGCAGAUGACCUCAAAUCUCUCAAGACUCUCCUCGGCUCAAGAGCCUCAACAUUCUUACGCUUUGCCACAAAAAAUAGUCUGGUGAUGAAUGCUACCAAAACUCAGGUCAUGAUUAGUGGAAAUUUCAGGGCUUAUGACGUGGCUGCCUUCUCUGACUGUGAAUGGUGCCAAGGGGUGGCCAAAUCCUAUCUACACGUGCCGCUUUGAUCCAUAAAUACGCCAUCACUUACCAAGGGGCCAGUACUUGAGCCAAUUGAUUGGAAAAACUAACCAUGCCCUGGCGAUUUUUGCCCAUCCACGCUUUGAAAAUGACGAAGCUGCACCUUCAAGCGCUUUUUAGAAAUUUCAAGUGGCCAUCAAAAACGUGGCACGUUCCAUCACAGGAACGAAAAUAACCGACAAACUGAAGAUUUUAUGAUCUUGGCCAGAAAUCAGGACUCUCCUCAAUCAAUGGGUUUACCAGCAGAGCCAUUGCAAUUGAGGGCUGGAAGGCCCACCAAAGUACGGACGGGGCAAACGGCGACAUGAACUUACUUGGACGGGUUAUGUUUCCUUGUAUUGAUUCCGGGAGAGACCAUGUGAGAUGCCCCCGCUCCAAGACGACGGAUCUUAACAACCACUGAGCGGCCCAACACAUUCGCGGUACAUGCUUUCACUGUGUGGAACAAGUCUGAGAACCUCCGGAAUGCCUUUAACAAGCACAGAGCUCAAACCGUUGCACUAACCCUGACCAAGGAAGCCCCCCUCUUGUCAACAGCGUGACUUGUGAUAAGGCUGUCGAACAUUUGACCUUGUCUACGGGCAUUAUUAUUUCUAUUUUUCACUCUUUUAAUAUCUACUGAUUAUGUUGCCCAAGCACUACGAGCUAGCAUGAACCAUUCUAGUUGCAUAGUAAAAUGCUGGUCCCAAGGACAAGAAUAAUGGCGAUUAAACAUACACACACACACA
Long non-coding RNA from Tigriopus californicus, 1270 nucleotides. RefSeq lists it as uncharacterized. The transcript is spliced from 2 exons. The record is from RefSeq and is a predicted model, not a curated record. Lineage: Eukaryota; Metazoa; Arthropoda; Copepoda; Harpacticoida; Harpacticidae.